RNAcentral lists this ribosomal RNA (764 nucleotides) under uncultured prokaryote. Its description in RNAcentral is "bacterial SSU rRNA". It matches the Rfam family "Bacterial small subunit ribosomal RNA", at positions 717 to 1482 of the family's 1533-position model. The record is from RNAcentral.
GAAGGCGGCCCCCUGGACAAAGACUGACGCUCAGGUGNGAAAGCGUGGGGAGCAAACAGGAUUAGAUANNNGGUAGNCCACGCUGUAAACGAUGUCGAUUUGGAGGUUGUGCCCUUGAGGCGUGGCUUCCGGAGCUAACGCGUUAAAUCGACCGCCUGGGGAGUACGGCCGCAAGGUUAAAACUCAAAUGAAUUGACGGGGGCCCGCACAAGCGGUGGAGCAUGUGGUUUAAUUCGAUGCAACGCGAAGAACCUUACCUACUCUUGACAUCCAGAGAACUUUCCAGAGAUGGAUUGGUGCCUUCGGGAACUCUGAGACAGGUGCUGCAUGGCUGUCGUCAGCUCGUGUUGUGAAAUGUUGGGUUAAGUCCCGCAACGAGCGCAACCCUUAUCCUUUGUUGCCAGCGAUUCGGUCGGGAACUCAAAGGAGACUGCCGGUGAUAAACCGGAGGAAGGUGGGGAUGACGUCAAGCCAUCAUGGCCCUUACGAGUAGGGCUACACACGUGCUACAAUGGCAUAUACAAAGGGCGGCAAGCUAGCGAUAGUGAGCGAAUCCCAUAAAGUAUGUCGUAGUCCGGAUUGGAGUCUGCAACUCGACUCCAUGAAGUCGGAAUCGCUAGUAAUCGCGGAUCAGAAUGCCGCGGUGAAUACGUUCCCGGGCCUUGUACACACCGCCCGUCACACCAUGGGAGUGGGUUGCAAAAGAAGUAGGUAGCUUAACCUUCGGGAGGGCGCUUACCACUUUGUGAUUCAUGACUGGGGUG